This 697-nucleotide ribosomal RNA is filed under the name uncultured Providencia sp. RNAcentral's name for it is "bacterial SSU rRNA". It matches the Rfam family "Bacterial small subunit ribosomal RNA", at positions 802 to 1502 of the family's 1533-position model. The record is from RNAcentral. Lineage: Bacteria; Pseudomonadati; Pseudomonadota; Gammaproteobacteria; Enterobacterales; Morganellaceae.
GUAAACGAUGUCGAUUUGGAGGUGUUCCGUGAGGAGUGGCUUCCGGAGCUAACGCGUUAAAUCGACCGCUGGGGAGUACGGCCGCAAGGUUAAAACUCAAAUGAAUUGACGGGGGCCCGCACAGCGGUGGAGCAUGUGGUUUAAUUCGAUGCAACGCGAAGAACCUUACCUACUCUUGACAUCCAGAGAAUUUAGCAGAGAUGCUUUAGUGCCUUCGGGAACUCUGAGACAGGUGCUGCAUGGCUGUCGUCAGCUCGUGUUGUGAAAUGUUGGGUUAAGUCCCGCAACGAGCGCAACCCUUAUCCUUUGUUGCCAGCACGUUAUGGUGGGAACUCAAAGGAGACUGCCGGUGAUAAACCGGAGGAAGGUGGGGAUGACGUCAAGUCAUCAUGGCCCUUACGAGUAGGGCUACACACGUGCUACAAUGGCGUAUACAAAGAGAAGCGACCUCGCGAGAGCAAGCGGAACUCAUAAAGUACGUCGUAGUCCGGAUUGGAGUCUGCAACUCGACUCCAUGAAGUCGGAAUCGCUAGUAAUCGUAGAUCAGAAUGCUACGGUGAAUACGUUCCCGGGCCUUGUACACACCGCCCGUCACACCAUGGGAGUGGGUUGCAAAAGAAGUAGGUAGCUUAACCUUCGGGAGGGCGCUUACCACUUUGUGAUUCAUGACUGGGGUGAAGUCGUAACAAGGUAACCA